This 491-nucleotide ribosomal RNA is filed under the name uncultured bacterium. Its description in RNAcentral is "partial 16S ribosomal RNA". It matches the Rfam family "Bacterial small subunit ribosomal RNA", at positions 29 to 507 of the family's 1533-position model. The record is from RNAcentral.
GUGAACGCUGGCGGUAGGCCCAACACAUGCAAGUCGAACGGCAGCACCGUAAGAGCUUGCUCUUACGGGUGGCGAGUGGCGGACGGGUGAGGAAUACAUCGGAAUCUACUUUUUCGUGGGGGAUAACGUAGGGAAACUUACGCUAAUACCGCAUACGACCUACGGGUGAAAGCAGGGGAUCUUCGGACCUUGCGCGAUUGAAUGAGCCGAUGUCGGAUUAGCUAGUUGGCGGGGUAAAGGCCCACCAAGGCGACGAUCCGUAGCUGGUCUUAGAGGAUGAUCAGCCACACUGGAACUGAGACACGGUCCAGACUCCUACGGGAGGCAGCAGUGGGGAAUAUUGGACAAUGGGCGCAAGCCUGAUCCAGCCAUACCGCGUGGGUGAAGAAGGCCUUCGGGUUGUAAAGCCCUUUUGUUGGGAAAGAAAAGCAGCAGGUUAAUACCCCGCUGUUCUGACGGUACCCAAAGAAUAAGCACCGGCUAACUUCGUG